Molecule: ribosomal RNA, 1199 nt
Filed under: uncultured organism
Description: bacterial SSU rRNA
Rfam family: Bacterial small subunit ribosomal RNA
Source: RNAcentral
GAGUUUGAUCCUGGCUCAGAAUGAUUGUUGGCGGCGUGGAUUAGGCAUGCAAGUCGAGCGAGAAGUUUUAGUUUGAAGCUUCGGCUGAUUUCUAAGAUGGACAGCGGCGCAAGGGAGAGUAAUGAGUGGAUUACCUACCCCCAGGACCGGGAUAGCUGCGGGAAACUGCAGGUAAUACCGGAUAAUAUCUCCGGAUCAAAUGGUGGGAUUCCGCCAGGGGAUGGGUCCGCUUCCUAUUAGCUUGUUGGUGGGGUAACGGCCUACCAAGGCAAUAAUGGGUACCGGGUGUGAGAGCAUGGCCCGGCUCACUGGGACUGAGACACUGCCCAGACACCUACGGGUGGCUGCAGUCGAGAAUCUUCCGCAAUGGGCGAAAGCCUGACGGAGCGACGCCGCGUGCGGGAUGAAGGCCUUCGGGUUGUAAACCGCUGUCAGUUGGGAGGAAAUCUAUGAGGGUUAUCCCUCAUAGUUGACCUAUCAUCAGAGGAAGGACGGGCUAAGUUCGUGCCAGCAGCCGCGGUAAGACGAACCGUCCAAACGUUAUUCGGAAUUACUGGGCUUAAAGGGUGCGUAGGCGGCUUGGCAAGUUGGGUGUGAAAUCCCUCGGCUCAACCGAGGAACUGCGCUCAAAACUGCCAGGCUAGAGGAAGAUAGAGGUGAGCGGAACUAAUGGUGGAGCGGUGAAAUGCGUUGAUAUCAUUAGGAACACCUGUGGCGAAAGCGGCUCACUGGGUCUUUUCUGACGCUGAGGCACGAAAGCUAGGGUAGCGAACGGGAUUAGAUACCCCGGUAGUCCUAGCCGUAAACGAUGAGCACUAGGUUGGAGGCUCCUUCAUAGGCUUCCGACCGAAGCGAAAGUGUUAAGUGCUGUCUUGACAUGUACGGAUGGGCUGCAUGAAAGGGAUAGUCCCUGCCUUCGGGUGAAACGUACACAGGUGCUGCAUGGCCGUCGUCAGCUCGUGUCGUGAGAUGUCGGGUUAAGUCCCUUAACGAGCGAAACCCUUGUUCCUAGUUGCCAGCACAUAAUGGUGGGGACUCUAGGGAGACUGCCGGUGUUAAACCGGAGGAAGGUGGGGACGACGUCAGGUCCUCAUGGCCUUUAUGACCAGGGCUGCACACGUCCUACAAUGCGGUGUACAGAGGGAAGCAAACUCGCGAGAGCAAGCAAAUCCCAAAAAGCACCGCCCAGUUCGGAUUGC